Molecule: long non-coding RNA, 10939 nt
Filed under: Homo sapiens (human)
Lineage: Eukaryota; Metazoa; Chordata; Mammalia; Primates; Hominidae
Description: HSALNT0327125
Source: RNAcentral
CUUCUUUUUCUAGUUUCCUAUGGUGAAAGCUUUGAUUAUUGAUUUUAGAUCUCUUCUUCUAUUAUAAUAGAUGCAUUUAUGCUAUAAAUUUCCCUCUAGGCAUCACUUUUGCUACAUCCCACAAAUUUUGAUUUUGUUUUCAUUUUCAUUCUGAACUUUUUUGAUUCAUGUAAUCUGUAAUGUGCAUUUCCAUAUCAUCCUAAGUAGAUCUAUUUCACUUUAACUGGUAUGUAAUAUUACAUUGUAUGGAUGUUUCAUAUUUUACUUAUUUAGUACUAUUUUGUAAGAUACUUAAGUUGUUCUAAUUUUUAUUCUCAUUCAAACAAUGCUCAAUGAAAUAUAUGUGUAUAUCUUUGUAUAUUGCAGGUUUAUAUCAAUAAGAUAAAUUCCUAACGUUGGAAUUGCUUAGUCAACAGAUACAUAUAUUUUCCAACGUGAUAAAUAUUGUCUAAUUGUUUUCCAAAAAUGUUGUACCAGUUAAUACUCACGAUGAGCUUUCAAUAGGUCAUUGCCUCUGUAGGAGGAGAUCCACUCUCUUUUUGUAAUUGCAAAGCAUAGUCACCUUGCCUAAUUACAGCAGGAUGUUAUUUAUACCUGUAUGUUUUGCUAUAAACACAUUAACCUAGAGAUGUGGGAUCUAAACGUUAAUCUUAGGUGUUGAUAUGCUCUGAUGAGUAAGAAAUUGCUAAAAGCUAGAGACAAAAUGGGAGAAAUAACUUGAGGCUUGCUGCAACACAGGAACAGAAAAUAAAAAUCAAGAGAAAAAAAGUUGGGGGGCAUAAAGCAAAACAUAAAAGUAAACAAAAAAAGGGGGAAGGGGAGAGUGAAGACCAUGGAGAUUGUGGUUAAUCAACAACAGGACGUGAGAAGUUGGGGAGCUGACCAAUAUUCUUGACAUAAGAUUUUGAGAAAAAUAGAGCUUACAGGGUAGGCUUAAACCUAGGAAUCAUUCUUCAUAUUUACCCAAAGAGGACUAUGGCACUAGCAAGUAUUUGUUUUCUCAGGUACUAGUGAUUCAAAGAGAGGGAGCUAAAAAGGGGAAAAUUAAAAUCAAAAGCCUAACUUAUUUUAUGCAAGAGAUAGCUGAAUUCUAAAAUUUUUGUUUUGUUUUGUUUUGUUUUUUUACCCUCUCAUGGGCCUAGCCUUAGGAUUUCUUUCACCACAAAUCCUUUCAUAGAUGGGAUCCCUAUCUGCCAUAGCAGCUGCUACCUCUGAGAGACUUGAAGCGACCUCUACCUCACACAUGAGAGAAAAGACCCUUCUUUUUACUUCUUGGGGAAUGUAGUGAUUCAGGACUGUAGUGUUUCCUCUUGGAGUCUCUCCCUAGAGGUUUUCCUAUUGUUUUUGCUCUAAGCAGAGUCCCCACAUCCACACUCCCCCACCCCCUCCAUAGCACAAUCAAUAUUAACUCAUUCAUAACAGAGGAGCAGCCUCUUUUCCAAUCACAGUUCUGCUGACUUGUUUGGGAUUGGUUUGGGUUGAGUCACUAAGAAACAUAUUAGAUUAAGGCACUGGUCUUUUUAAUAAUAAUAUAGAAUCUCCACACCUCUCAAAUAGACCUCAAAUUUGGGAGCCAUUUAUUUUCAUUACCCUCUCUUCAUAGGAAAAAUUGAGGACCCCGUUUAUUUACUUAAAACAACAAUAAGCUGAAUCACUGUUGCUAUUUAACAUCUUACUUUUUAGAAAAUAUUCUUUGUGGUGCCUGACGGCAAUGCUGCAAAGGAAACAACCAGUUUAAAAAUAGGAAAGAUAAAUUAAAUAAUACCAAUUUACAAACAAAUUUAAAAUCGAAACAAUCCCCCAUACACACUCUUCUUGGUCAGCUCUGCCUCACCCUAAGAGAUCAGUAGGUAAACAACAUUCUGUUACCUCUGUUUGCACCCAUGGAUCAUCAGGUGAGAGGGCAGGUGUUUGGGAGUAGUUGGAGAGAGGGCUGAAACAAUAUUUUUGCACCAAAUAACUUGGUCUCUCCAGUUUGUAGUUAGUUUAUAAUGAGUUUGUGAUCCAUGGAUCUCACAGGCUGCUUCCUUGUAACUUAAUGAACCAUAAUGACAAUUCCAAAGGCUACAUUAAUUUCUUUUUAAAAUAAAAGAAGGAGGGUCUGCUGAGAGUGGAUGUUAGGAACUAAGCUAUUUCCAUUACCCUAUUUUAAGUAAAGCGCUAGCUAGAAGGCCCAUGUACCAGCUACUGCUAACUCCUAACUUCAGAAACUCAUUUGCAAUGAGCUUUCCAUACCUCUUUGGGUGGGAAAUGUACUAUUGCUUCUCUUCUUAGCGAGGCUAUCAAGAAACACACUUCAAAAAAUUCCCACAACACACAUAAUCAUUCUUUCAAAAUAGCAAUUUGGCUGUAGCAGCCUUCUUCCCAUUCAGCUAAGUGUGUGAAAGGUAAUGGAGACAGCUAAUGCCUUUUGGUUUUGCUGUGGGCAGGGGAAUCUUACCAUCAUAUGUAAUUAGUAAGAACUACCAGAAAACAGACAAUUGUUAUAGAAGUCACACUGAAAAUACUCUAACAAAUAGUCUAAGCAACAUUCAUUGAGCUCCUUUGGGGGUGGGGCAAGGGGGGUAAUUUUCUGGUGUUAAGAAUGUCAUAAGAUUGCCAAGGUAGUAAAUGACUGGGACUUUACAAAGGCCUUUGGAAGGAGAGGGGGCAAUCCCAUGAGAAAAUGACAGGUACUGUUUUAUUUCCAUGGUCCUUUUUUACCUGCCAGUUCUUACUUCUCAGUGAACACAACUGAUGUCCCCACUUUCCCCAACAACAACAAUGACAAUAAAAUAAAUUUUAAAAAGAUUCUCGGUAUGAGUCAUGAGCUUACCCACUGUGGACCAGGAAGUUCUCUUCAGGCUCUCACCUGCUAAACUAUGGCAGAAGUGAUUAUGCAAAGUUUUCAAAAACCCACAGCACAGCUCUCCUCCUGCUGGGCUAUGAAUGGAGACAAGGGACUGGUACUAGUGAGGGCCAUUCGGAAGAGGAAGUGGGUGAAGGCUCUGCCACUGGCCAAAAUCGGGUUGCACCUCUUCUCCCAUGCUCCCCAUACAAGCCCUGACAAUGACAUUCUCCUGGAAGCCCAUUUUCAUUGCUGCCUCCAGGCCUUUGCUCUCCUGUUUGUCUGGGACUACCUGAGAGCCCUUCUUCUAAACCCAUCCUAGUCUGAUUCGAACUCAUUUUUCAAGGACCUACCUCUUCCCAGUUUAUAGGCCAUUUUCUCUCAUUUCAGCCCACACUGCGCUCUCCUUUCUCUGAAUUCUUGCAGCACUUAUAAUCUCUAUAAUUAUAAUAACAACAAUAUUUUAGUUAUUUACGUAUCAAGUACUCACUACAUGUCAGGUGCUAUGCUAAGUAGUUUACGUAGUCCCUUAUUUAAUCUUCACAGCUAUCCCAACCUAUGUUACAUUUGAGGAAACCGUGGUUACGUGGUUAGUAAGUGGCAGGAUGGGAUUUGAACCCAGGUCCAUCACUGGUAAAGCCUGUGUCCUUCCCCAUGGUCCAUAUUUCAUUUUUUGGGCUACCUCACAAUAUACUUGCACUGCAUCCUUUUUGUAUAUUUUAUAUUUCAUUUUAUGUGCUUGUGCCUCAUGUUCACAACAGAAUUUAUGCCUCUAGUGAAUGGGGCUACUUAUUAGAUGUGUGUUUACUGCCCAUUUUGUCAAGCAUGGGAUCAAGCAUUUAGUAGGUGCCUAAUAUUUGUGACUGGAUAUAGCAUGAAUAGACAUGCAUCUUUCUUCGAAACUCUCAAAGGUCUUUAUAAGAACAAUCACACCAGACAGUGGUGCAUGGAGGAGGGGAGCAGUGUAGUGGUCGCGUGUGAAAAGGGUCCCUGAAUAGCCAAUAAACCAUCUUACUCCGGUUCACUGUGAUCCCCUUAACCCCUCAGUAAUAGGCAAGGCCAUGUGAAGCCUGGCACAGAUAGAGUAUCAGAGAAAUCCCAAGAGGUGCAGCAUCCUUGCCACAAAAGCAGUGUGGCUGUGGCAAUCAUUGUUCCUGAAGCUUCUCUGAGGAUCCAAGAUCACUUCAGCCAAUCAGCUCCAGGAUGGAAAGAACUUCAGGGUUUUACUGGGCUUCCUUGCCAAGCUUUAAAUAGCUUAGUUACAUCAUUGAGAACCAGUGCCAAAUGAAAGUCUUUCUGAUUGACCUGCUAUUAGGAGGCCACUGCAUUAUAAACCUUCAAAGCUUUAGCCAUAAAAUAAUUUCAAAUGCAGUGUCAAGAGAAGUGUUCCAAUAUGUAAUAAGUAAAACUUAGAAGACGUAUAAAAAUUAAAGAGUGGGUCAACUGGUUCAAAUGGCACACAAAUUUAAUGUGAGUGUCACAGUCUAAUGGAAAAAACAGCAUCUCAGGAUCCAAGGGGGUUCACAUCAAUUCCAGCUUUGCCCUUCAUAUAACCUCAGCCAUGUUACUUCAUCUUACUGUGCCUCAGUCUCCUCAGCUGCAUGACGAAGACUGCGAAUUCAUUGAUUCUCAAAUUACAUGCUAGAUAUUAUCUGAGGUUCACAUGAUGGCAUAAGCUUCCUUUCCCAAACCUCAUGUAAAUACGUACCAUAUGUUUCUAAAAAGUUCUCUGUAUACACACCUCUAUUGCAAAAGUAUAUCACUCCGCAAGUUCUGUCGAGGUAACAAGCCCCAUUUUAAAGAAAAAAGAAAGGGAGGGGAGAAUUACAUUCAGGGUCAGAGAAAAUAAGGCCAGAAACAUACAGAAACAGGUUCCAGAUAUGCAAUCUGCUGCUUAUCCAUGGAGCCAUGCUACUUUCCUUUAAGAAGAGAGCGCUUAAAAGAGUAAGGUUCUACCUCUAUUCUCAUCAAGGGGAGCAACACUUUUGUAAUGACUUAUAAAGUGACUUGAGAAAAAUACUUUCUUAUCACAAUUUCCAUGUAAAUUCAAAAUUACCAUAAUUUCCAUGCCAAUUCAAAAUUAGGAAAAUACUUAACACAUUUUCUUAACUGUACAAAUGCCAGGGGAACAGAGUCCAAGACUCACUGUAGAGGGAAAAAACCCAAGGUUCUCACAGAAUCUCCAUCCCCAGCCCACUUGGCCAGAGUUUUCUUUCUUUUUAAAUUCUUGUGUCUCUACCUCUCACAGGUCUCCUCUUCCUCUUUUCCUCUUGUCACACUAUCUGCUGUCUCUCCUGGCCACCUCUAGAAGCCAACACCCUCAUCCUUUACCCUUUCUUUGCUUGUUGCAUCUAACUUUUAAGGGGCUCAGAGGCAAGAGGCCAAAGCCUGUUAAAAUCAGAAAUAAAGCUACAAAACUGGAGAAGACCUGAGCUGCCUCCCUGAGAAAAGCACACAAGUGUGACAUCUGCUAGUUGCUAAGUCCUUGUCUGUCACAGACAGUGGUAGAGGUCUAUCUUUCAGAGUAAAGAAGCCUAGCUUGAUCUAGAAAGCAGCAUCAUUUGGGCUCUUGACUUUGGGAGAAGGAGUCCUUCUGAUAUGACACACUAGUUAAUUCCUAUUCCACAAAAACCAUAACUAUGGCACAGUUAAAGCACUAUAGCAGGCACAGGUAAUGAAUAGGGUCACUUUCCUGAGUGACAUCUCCACUAAGAUCUUUCAUCACAUCAGACAUCUGUGACCCAGCCAAGCAGCAGUUACGAGGUCAGUCCUAUAAGAGAAAUAAUAGGAGGUGGGGAUGGGCAUUUGAGCUUAGCAAAGUUGUAAUCUAAUCUUUCGGACUUUGGUCAUAAAUGGGACAAAGUCCUAAAGAGACCACACUGGGUGUUAGGGAAUAAAAUGGCACUUUCCUCAAAGAAACAGCUAGAAAGGAAGCAUCCCAAGCUAUAUCCCGAAAGGCUCUAACCUCUGGGACUAAAUUACAGUCAUCAGAACCUUUAUCUUACAAAUGAAUUGUUAAUUGUACUUACCCCACCAGGACCCUCAUUUGUAUCUGUUUCUCAACUUCACCCAUGAGCCUUCCAUACACUCCUUCCCACCCUGUGCUAGAUGCCUCUCCUCUGAUGCACAACACCCUAUCACACUCCUCCUGACUAACUCACACACACACACACACACACACACUGUACUAUAAUUGUAUGCUUUUCUUCAUCUGUAGGCUCCAGGUCCAUUAGGACAAAGCUUGCAUCUUUCAGCUCAUAACUUUAGCUCUUAGAAUUGUGCCUUGUACAUAGUACAUGUUCACUAUAUGUUUAAAUGAAUGAGUACAUGAACAAAAUGAAUGAAUCUUUGUAUCUUUUAUAAUAUAGUUCUCCUUCCACCAAAGCACUCAUCUUGGUACCUUCCCAUCAUGAGGCCAGGGUAAGGCUUUGUGACAUCACUCUAAGAUAAGACAAAAGCACAAGAAUAGGUUGUACUUAGCAGAGGCAAACAAAGCUGUCCUCGGGCAGGGUGUGACACAGGUUUCUUCUUGUCUUGAGGAUGAGUGAAGAAGCCCACAGCCACAUGGGUAUUUUCGCAGCUUCCCAUGGGGGAAAGGCUGACCCUGGAUAGAAUGGCAGGAGAAUUUAAUUUUAGGAUUUGGGAAGAAGGAAUUAUUGUUAAGUAUCUCAGAAGAAUCAAGAUUUGGGAGCAGGAAGUGAAGACUUAUCCAAAUUAAAGAUUGUGCUAAUUUAUUACAACCAUGUAUACUGAAAACAAGCAUGUUGGGCCCAGAGUGAAGGAGGGUGUUUCCCAUGCAGACAGUGCAACCUGCCCCGGCCCCUCACCACAGUGAGAGAAGACUCAGCAGCACAUGCUCACCGAGCUAACUGAACCGAUGGUGCUCUCCGUAGUGGCCACAGACUACAGCUGAGGUCAACUGAUGCAUGCCCAACGACGUCUGCAGAUCCCAAGAUAUGAUUUCAUUAAUUGCCAUGGAUAAAUCAGUUGGGCAUUUGCUGGCAGUGUUUAAAAUGCCACGAUGGGUCAGAUUAGAAAGCUGCUAGUACUGUAAGUCCAAAAGUGACCCAAGGAGGGUUCUUGGCUUCUGCCAAGGGUAAGAUCCCACAGCUGCUUGAGUUGACUCCACCUGAACAAAGUGAGGCCUCUGCCAUCAGGCCCAUCAUUCCAUCUAGAUAGGUAUGGCCUCCUGCCACCACCGGGACACACAUCUGUGAUACAACCAGAGACAACAAAGGUACCCUGGGCUGGAGGCAGGGCAGGGGUAAUUGCAGUAUCAGAACCUACUUCCCAGGAUUCUUGACAAAGUUCUCCCCAACAGGUGCUUCUCCUCUCUGGAGUAGUGUAAUGAUGAAAGACACGUAUUAGAAGUUGAACUACCAAGGUUUGAAUCCCAGCUCUGCCCACCAACUAUGUAAUCAUGAGAAAGUCACUUAACCUCUCUGAAUCUCAGCUUCCUCCUCUGCAAAAGGGAAGAAUAAAGCUCCUAUAUAGUCCCAUAAAAUUGGUGUAAGGAUUAAAAGACAUGAUUGGUGUGAAGAGUUAGAACAGUGAGUCAACAUGAAGUCAUGUUCCAUAUUAUUUUUCCUUUAGGGUCCUCCGUCUUCCCCUUUCCCUGGAGACCCAUCCUAUCUGCCCUAGUGGGGCAGUGCCUUGUUCUCUGGGAUGCUCCUCUCUUUACUCUGAAAGAGAUCAAAUAACCAGUCCACACAAAGCUUAAUAUGUUGUUCAAUAGGAGGGUGGAACUUUAGAUGCAAGGAGCAAACUCCUAGAGGGAAAUUUCCAGUUUUAUUGGUCUGCAGAUAGAAAAGGGUUAUUUGCAUCAUGUAGGAGAGUAUUGAAUAGGAGGUGAGGAAGUAGGCCAAGGCCUCAUAAUCUGGACAUCGAUUUCAGGAUAAGAAGUGCAUAUAUAAGAGGUUUCAUAGGUAGAGUCGAGAGCAAGCAUAGUAGAAAUGACACUACAAAGAUUUUAAGAAAAAAUAGGAUUGAAGGGGAGCCAGUGUUGCCAGAUGGAGGCCAUCAUGUGGAGAUCCUGCUUGGAGCACUCACUAGCCCAGAGCCACCAUGCCAUGGGAUGGACCUGCAGCCUCUGGAGGCCUUGAUAAGGGAUGGCUGAGCUGAGCUGAGUGUUCACUUCCCUGUGCUUUUUACAUUUCCUAAGGUAUAGGCAACCAGGAGAUGCCUUAUUCUCUACAAUUUUCUGGGACCAACAUAGCCACAUCUGUUAUCCCUUUGUCCUUCCUCACCUUCCUUGCAACUCUUCAUACACAUUCACACACACACACACCUUUCCAGGUCUGAGAAAAAGGUAAUAGACAAAACACAAACUCUAAGAAUCAAAUGCAGACAUGUGAAGCUGGCCAGGUGCAAUCAUACAUGCCCUCGGGUAAGGCAUGAUUCAUCACCAAAGUCCCCAACUCCUCUGCUCUCUGAAAACACUCUGCCUUCUUGCAGAUGGAUGGUGACAGUCCCACUCCUUUCUACCUCAUACUGAGACCAGCUUGAGCAUGUGGCUGGCCAUGCAGCCUUGAAAAGGACAAAUGACCCGAAGGGACUAAAGUAGAAUGGGGAAAGCCAGGCACUCCAAAGCUGCAACAUCACCCUCUGGCAGUUAUAAUUGCUCCCCUGCAGUGAGGGAAUGUCCCUGCCCACUACUCAUCGACCAGGUAGCUCCUGGAGGGCUCAAGUUCCUGGUGGAAGGGGCUUGGCCUGUUUCAACUAACUUCAAGCAGCACAAAGCCCAGCCCAUCUCUCUGUAGCUCUGGGCAUUUAACAAAUGCUUUUAAUGAUGAUGAUGCAAUCCUUUCAGCUUAGGUCUAUCAGGGUCCCCUGAGAAACAUAUAUUAUCUGAAGCUUUCCCUUUUGCUUAAUUACAUUGUGCUAAUGUUCUUUUUCCACUAGAUUUCUCCUCCCCCAACUCUCCCAUCCAAAUCCUGCUUCACUGUGGGUUGGAUUUACAUAAAAGGCCAGCACGUUAUAAUUGUGAUGAUUGAUCACCAAAGUUUCCUUGGGUUCAGAUUGUUUCCUAAUGUGGGUCAUUUUUCAUCAUGAAGAGUUGGCUGAUAAUGAUGUCAUUUCCAUUGCUUGAAUUUUGAGGCAGUGGCCACAUAUCACAGAGUUUAAAUGACUGUCUAUAGGGCAGCAAAAUCAUGUCGUUAUCAGUUUAAAGCAGUUGCUGCUUUACUCCUGGGGACAAAACAAGAAUUGGAGCCUCCUAAAACUCAUCAAACAAGAGCAGGAUGCCAAGAAUACAAAUCUGUAUCUGGGCCUGGGAAAGGGGGAGCAGGAAGGAGGGGUGGUGGUGAAGCAAACCUGUUUUUGCAUGAGGCUGUGUGGUAAGUAUCAGAUAAAAAUGACAAAGUCAUACUUGACAGAAAAUAAGCUGUACUGCUGAUCACUGGAUACCUUAGAUGUGUUCACCCACAAUCCUUUAACUGUGAUUUCACAGGAAGAUUAACGAGCAAGAAUUGAAAUCAUUCACGAAGAGAAGCUUUGGACUAAAACCCAUCUGCCAGAUAAGCCAAUAAAUGUCCCUCUCAUCAAGUGAUUGGGACUGGGAUGGAGCUGGAAUUUGGCCCUAAUGUUGCAUGUGUAAAGUAUGCAUAUAAAAUGAAAUGAUGUUACAUGUGUGUUUAAAACAAAUAGUUGCAUUGUUAAAAUCCCAAGGCUUGCAGACCCUAAAUCACUGUGAGUGAGCUGCUGCCCCAGAUGCUCUGUUUUCUGCUAUUUGCCCCCAGCCAACUUCCCAUGUGGCAUGUCCUUCUGAACCCUCUAGGAUGCCCUGCAGAUGUUAAAAGUGUAUAGUGCAGCCCCAGCCCUGUCUUCCACAGUCUUUCUCAUGCAACCCAGCAUCCCUCCUCCAACUUCUUUUCAAAAUACUCUAACUUGGAGAAAAUUGCAAGAACAGUAAAAUGAACACCCAUAUAUUGCUCACCUACAUUCACUAAUUAUUUUUAUUGUCCCAAAUAUGCUUUAUCUCUCUGUAUACAUAUACACACUUUUUUUUGUUUAAUCAUUUGAGAAUUCAUUGUUUUAGCUUCCCAUGCUUCAGGAUACUUCCCUCCUACAUACUUAGGUGAGUAUCUCAACAAAAGGUUUUCCUCCUUUCAUAUCAUACUUCAGAAAUUUCACAUUGAUAUAAUACUAUUCUCUAAUAUGGUCUUUUUUAAGUUCAAUUGUCCCUAUAGUUUUAUGCAGCUGAUCUAAGUACAUACAUACACACAUACACACACCCACACACACCCGCACACCCACACACACACGCCUCCAGGGUUUAAUCAAAGAUCUCACAUUGCGUUUAGCUGACAUGUUUGCUUUUUCAUUUGUUUGUUUUGUGUUGUGGUGUUGAAUUGGUCCUAGCGGUAUCAAUAUAAACCUAUUUUUAUUUCAAAAAUUUAUUUCUUAGGAAGAUGGAGAUAUGUCAAGAAGACACAGGAUUCUUCUUGAAAGGAUUCCCACUGGGAAAACUGGGAUAAUUUAAACAUCAAAAUGACAAAUGACAGAAGUGGUUAUAACAUAUUAGAGGGAACAAAUAUAUUUUCUGAUAUUUUGAAAAAUCAAGGUGGGAAGAAGAAUGGAACACUCCUCUUUAGAGAAGAAUACCAACUAAUAAAUGAGUAGGAAAUUUAGAAAUAGAAAAUUGUCAUUUUGUAACCAUCAUAAUGAUAAUUAAUUCAGGCAGGGGCCAUGAUAUCCCAGUCCACAUUUGUACCUUUCUUUUUCCACAGUGAGAAUCCAGGUUCCCAACAACCUUGUUAUGUUUACCCAUUUGCCUGGUCCUGCAGUACACACUAUCAACAAUUUAUUAAGUGGAGUUCAAGAUUUCCAUACCGUUUCAUUUUUAUUCUUAGAAAAUGUUAUGUUGGGUUGUACAAUCAGCAUACUUUGUUCGAAAGUGACUUGAGUACUUUUUCUAAUCUGUGAUUUUUAUCUAUUUCAUGUAAUUUUGGGUUUUUUCUGCUUGAAUUCAAUUUUCAUCUUUUUUCCAUUUCUUAAUUCUAUUUUUUGGAAAUGUAAACCUUUAACACACUUUGAAACACAAAACCAAAUCAAAAGGGAUCCCCAGAGAAAUUCCAUCUUCUUCCCUAUGACUUGCAUUUGGUUCUCACUGAU